RNAcentral lists this transfer RNA (132 nucleotides) under Aspergillus neoniger CBS 115656. RNAcentral describes it as "tRNA-Sec". The stretch from base 67 to 124 matches the Rfam family "tRNA", at positions 9 to 63 of the family's 71-position model. The record is from RNAcentral. Lineage: Eukaryota; Fungi; Ascomycota; Eurotiomycetes; Eurotiales; Aspergillaceae.
GUCUCGGUGGCGCAAUUGGUAAGCUUACCCUUCAACACUACAUCAUACCCAAUCAGUUACUAAUUCAGCAUUAAAGGUUAGCGCGUACGACUGUUAAUCGUGAGGUUGAGAGUUCGAUCCUCUCCCGGGACG